RNAcentral lists this ribosomal RNA (253 nucleotides) under uncultured bacterium. RNAcentral describes it as "partial 16S ribosomal RNA". It matches the Rfam family "Bacterial small subunit ribosomal RNA", at positions 524 to 776 of the family's 1533-position model. The record is from RNAcentral.
GACAGAGGGUGCAAACGUUGUUCGGAAUUACUGGGCGUAAAGCGCGUGUAGGCUGUUCUGCAAGUCGGGUGUGAAAGCCCCGGGCUCAACCUGGGAAGUGCACUCGAAACUGCAGAACUCGAGUCCUGGAGAGGAAGGCGGAAUUCUCGGUGUAGAGGUGAAAUUCGUAGAUAUCGAGAGGAACGCCGGUGGCGAAGGCGGCCUUCUGGACAGUGACUGACGCUGGGACGCGAAAGCGUGGGGAGCAAACAGG